Molecule: transfer RNA, 75 nt
Filed under: Capsulimonadaceae bacterium
Lineage: Bacteria; Bacillati; Armatimonadota; Armatimonadia; Capsulimonadales; Capsulimonadaceae
Also listed under: 1 other name
Description: tRNA-Thr
Rfam family: tRNA
About the family: Transfer RNA (tRNA) molecules are approximately 80 nucleotides in length. Their secondary structure includes four short double-helical elements and three loops (D, anti-codon, and T loops).
Source: RNAcentral
GCCGAUGUGGCUCAGGGGUAGAGCGGCUCUUUCGUAAAGAGUAGGUCGGGGGUUCGAAUCCCUCCAUCGGCUCCA